GGAUAAGUGACUGAGUGGUCUAAGGUGGUAGUUUUGAAAACUAACGCAGCAUUGCUGCCGUGGGUUCGAAUCCUGCCUUAUCCU
RNAcentral lists this transfer RNA (84 nucleotides) under Ishige okamurae. RNAcentral describes it as "tRNA-Ser". It matches the Rfam family "tRNA". Rfam says of the family: Transfer RNA (tRNA) molecules are approximately 80 nucleotides in length. Their secondary structure includes four short double-helical elements and three loops (D, anti-codon, and T loops). The record is from RNAcentral. Lineage: Eukaryota; Phaeophyceae; Ectocarpales; Ishigeaceae.